UAUAUAUUACAAUAGCUUCCGCAGUCACUAUGAUAUUUCUACGAGUUUCCAAACGGGCGACAAAACGACGAACGACUGGAUCGUUACUCAGCGGGUUUCAGCGCGAUAUUUCAAUUUCACUGGAAAGGAAUGACAUUGGUACUACUUUAUAUAUGCAUACAGUUCUCAGUUAUAUAUCUAUAAGUUAUAUAUUUGAGUUCUCAGUUAUAUGUCUAUAACUACGGAGUAAUUUUGUUCAAGAUACUUUUCGGGUUCGAGGGAACAACUGCUGCAACAUAUCGAAUAUGGAGUUUGUCAAUGUUUAUCCAGUGACCUCUGACCUCCUUUUGGAAUAUUUAGGGAAGAUCGUCCGAGACGUCAAAUUAUAUUAUCCAAAUAAUGGCUGCAGUACCGUCGGCGUUUGGUAUCCGUGGCACAUGGUCCUCGAGGGAUUUUAUGUCGGUGGGAAACGUGGAAAUCCUUAAAAACAUGGGAAAAGGUUCACAUUGGUGGUGAAGUAAGCUCAUCCUUUCACGAAGAAGAGCCACGGAAGACGUUCAAAUAAGGAAGGAUGUUUCUAAGCGGAAAUUCGAAAAAUAUUCAUGCUACAAAAAGAAUACAAUGGCGAAGAUAUAAGAAUUUCAACGUUAUAAUAUGAUAAAGGAUCUAAAGCUGUCAUAUAGCUGCUUUGAAAUCCAAAAUUCAAAUACGAGGAUUUAUUUGUAAAAUCGACCAGAUCAAAUGGGACGACGAAUGGGUUGGAAAAGAAAUUUAUUAUAUAAUUUAUAACAAUAAUAUUAAUAACAAGAAGAAGACAUUCGAUUUGGUACGUUCGACACGUAUAUGUACAUAUUAUGACAAGAUACAGAAAUGAUUGUGCUUUUUUUUUCAUAAUACUGGAUACGUCAAGAAAUUUAUAUAUGUAUAAUAUACAUACAUAUAUAUAUUUUUAUAUAUAUUUUUGGAGAUUACACGGCCAAGAAAUUUUCUUGGAAAUUUAACGUGGAUAGUAUUUCACGGUUAUGUGUUAUGCGUGUAUGUUUACUUUUCUUGGAAAUGACGAAAGGGUCCAUCAGGUUGUUAUCAUUAUAAAUCAAAAUUUUCCUACGGUAUUUGUCAUCUCGGGCUUGGAAAAGUGUUUGUAAAAUUCCAUUACGUGUCCUAUUAGUCGUGAAGUCUGGUAUGAGAAAUAACGUUUGUCCCUUUUUCAAUAUUUUUGCGCGGAUAGCUUAGCGCGUUUAACAGUAACAUAUACGUUUUCGGAGGAAAGACUUAUUCAUGAAAUAUAUAUAUAUAUAUGUUUAUUAUAUAUGAUACGUGCCUUUUGUGCGCUCUCCAAGAUAUAUAUUCAGAACGAAUUCUCAUAUCGAUAUUCAUCUUUGUUUAAAGGAACUUCUGUAUAAAAUGUUGUCGUUAAUUUUUUUUGCCUAAUGGUUGCAAAUUUUUUUCAUUAAAAUUUGUCUCACAUUGAAUAUCUAUUCAAACGAUUCGUCAGUUCAUUGAAUCCGUACUUCCACUUUUGUAUACAAUAGGGGAUGCCAGGGCAUGAAUGAUGUGUUAUUAAAUACAAUAACUUAAUCAGUGUAUUACAUCUUUUCGGAGACAAAGGCAGAGCAUCGAGUACUGGUACAGAAAUUAAUUAGUCUUCUUGGUAUAGAAGGGGUGAAAGGUGGAGCUGAUGGCUGAAAGCAGGCGAAAAUAUGGAAGAUGGGGUGGAGGAAUGAAAUUUGAAUGGAGAAGAGAGAAGAAAUGAGGAAAACGUGAAGUGGAAGCAGGAAGAAGAGAAGGAGAGAGGAUAAUAAAGGAAGUAAAAUAAAGUGUGAAGGAAGAGAGUUGAAAAGAGAUUUAAAAGGGGGAGAAAGCAUACAGUGAAAGGUUGGAAUGGGGGGAUGCUGCAUGACUUGUGUCCUUUUUGGUUCUUGGGCAAAGUCCACAAUUCUAGAGAUGGGGGACCCAGUCACGUUGAUGGUACGAAUCUGUGUGAGGAAUGAAAAAAAUGGUUUAAAGAAAAUUUUUCAUGCUAUGUGCAGAAUAACUGGAUAUACAGGAACAUGCAUAUGGGCUUACAGAAGGCUGUUGUAUUCCCAAACCACACACUCAUGAAAUCUAUCUAAGCUGGAUUUAACGACUUUCCCAGAGAACAGUCUCUUGGUGGUGAUUCCAAAAACUUUAAUGUCCACUGAGGGACUUGGGAGGACGUAGAAAUUUAUAGCCCUUAGACAAAGAAAAAGAGGAAAAAAUAGAUAUUUGUGUCUCGUUGAAAGCCCUUUCACGACUUAGGAUCUGAGAUUUAUCUUAAAUCAAAGUUUAUCUUAUUGCAGAGGAAAAAUUUUCUUUUACACGUAUAUCGGAGUGUACAUUUUGAUUAAGGAUAUUUUUCAAUUGAGCAAUUAGAUAUAAUUUUUUGAAAAGGUAUUUCAUUUUUAAUAUGCUCUGAUUAAACGUGAUAUUAAGCUUAUACCUUUUUAUCUAACUAAAUUGACCGGUUAGUCGAAGUGGGGUUUUUUAUUUUUAAGAUUAAGUAUAUCUUCGUGUUGGUAUGCUGGGCAGAUACGCUCUCUUACUUAGGAGUCAUUUGUUUCCCUGACUUGAAAUUAUUAGACGCUCUUAUCGUUCCACUAUUUUACGAAAAGCGGUUUGAAAGCUCGCGCCAAUUCUUCUGUAAAACGAUAAAUUUCCGGCUGUACCCUUCCCUUUCACUCGUUUAUCUCUCUCCGCUCGUCGCUCGGAAUUUUUGUGAUAUCAGCUAACGCUUGAAACACGUCGAUUUCUUUCGCGGGAAGCGAAGUCUAAUGGUUCCGCGUAUAAAUUAUAUUUAGAGCUUUCUGGCAUUGAGCCGGAGAAGUUGAUAUUUUGAAAAUUUCAUAGUGAAUCUCUGCUUUCACUCUUUUUUCCUUGAAUUACAUUUAAAAGUUUAUGAUCACACAAAUCCUCCAUUUGGAAGGCAAAUCCAAGCAAAUCUCAGUCUUCGAAUGAGCAAAGAUAAUUCAUAGCUCAUAUAACUCUAAUCGUAAUUCACAUUACUGUCGUUAUCAAUCAUACCCAUAUCUUUGCAUUGGAUCGUUUGAAAUUAUUUAAUUACUCCCCUAUCACCCCCACGCUUUCGUUACCUUAAUUAUUUUAUAUUACAACCCAACUCGUUAAAAGGUUUAGUCGUUUUAAUUAAUACCCGCACGAACGUGGCGCCAUCUCUGUUUAUUCAAACGAUUCACUCAACGGGUACUAUUAAUAAAUUCACGAAGAAUCACAGUGGAAGCAUUUUCAAUUUCAUUUCGUUUUCGGUUGAUAUUCUUUAUCCUGAAUGUAUUCUCGCUUUUAUUUCAAAUAUAUUCUCUACUUAAACUUUAUUAUUGUAACGCCGAUCAGUCGCAUUCUUCAAAAAAACUUUAUAGUCAACUUUACAUCACGCGUGCCUUGUGAACCUUAUUAAAUUUCUUACUUUA
Long non-coding RNA from Cephus cinctus (wheat stem sawfly), 3422 nucleotides. RefSeq lists it as uncharacterized. The record is from RefSeq and is a predicted model, not a curated record. The transcript has 4 exons. Lineage: Eukaryota; Metazoa; Arthropoda; Insecta; Hymenoptera; Cephidae.